This 232-nucleotide ribosomal RNA is filed under the name uncultured bacterium. RNAcentral's name for it is "partial 16S ribosomal RNA". It matches the Rfam family "Bacterial small subunit ribosomal RNA", at positions 99 to 334 of the family's 1533-position model. The record is from RNAcentral.
CGGGCGGGUGAGUAAUGUCUGGGAAACUGCCCGAUGGAGGGGGAUAACUACUGGAAACGGUAGCUAAUACCGCAUAACGUCGCAAGACCAAAGAGGGGGACCUUAGGGCCUCUUGCCAUCGGAUGUGCCCAGAUGGGAUUAGCUAGUAGGUGGGGUAAUGGCUCACCUAGGCGACGAUCCCUAGCUGGUCUGAGAGGAUGACCAGCCACACUGGAACUGAGACACGGUCCAG